UGGGGAAUUUUGGACAAUGGGCGCAAGCCUGAUCCAGCCAUGCCGCGUGAGUGAAGAAGGCCUUCGGGUUGUAAAGCUCUUUCGGCGGGGACGAAACGGUUCGUGACAACACCACGGACUAAUGACGGUACCCGCAUAAGAAGCACCGGCUAACUCCGUGCCAGCAGCCGCGGUAAUACGGAGGGUGCAAGCGUUAUCCGGAAUCACUGGGUUUAAAGGGUGCGUAGGCGGUUUGAUAAGUCAGUUGUGAAAUUCUCCGGCUUAACCGGGUGGACUGCGAUUGAUACUGUUGGACUUGAGUACAGAUGAGGUAGGCGGAAUUGACGGUGUAGCGGUGAAAUGCAUAGAUAUCGUCAAGAACACCGAUAGCGAAGGCAGCUUACCAAGCUGUAACUGACACUGAGGCACGAAAGUGUGGGGAGCAAACGGGGAUUAGAUACCCAAGUAGUCCCUGAGCGGGCUGGCAAGGCGCAU
Molecule: ribosomal RNA, 474 nt
Filed under: uncultured bacterium
Lineage: Bacteria
Description: bacterial SSU rRNA
Rfam family: Bacterial small subunit ribosomal RNA
Source: RNAcentral